RNAcentral lists this ribosomal RNA (683 nucleotides) under Listeria innocua. Its description in RNAcentral is "bacterial SSU rRNA". It matches the Rfam family "Bacterial small subunit ribosomal RNA", at positions 857 to 1533 of the family's 1533-position model. Lineage: Bacteria; Bacillati; Bacillota; Bacilli; Caryophanales; Listeriaceae. The record is from RNAcentral.
GCAUUAAGCACUCCGCCUGGGGAGUACGACCGCAAGGUUGAAACUCAAAGGAAUUGACGGGGGCCCGCACAAGCGGUGGAGCAUGUGGUUUAAUUCGAAGCAACGCGAAGAACCUUACCAGGUCUUGACAUCCUUUGACCACUCUGGAGACAGAGCUUUCCCUUCGGGGACAAAGUGACAGGUGGUGCAUGGUUGUCGUCAGCUCGUGUCGUGAGAUGUUGGGUUAAGUCCCGCAACGAGCGCAACCCUUGAUUUUAGUUGCCAGCAUUUAGUUGGGCACUCUAAAGUGACUGCCGGUGCAAGCCGGAGGAAGGUGGGGAUGACGUCAAAUCAUCAUGCCCCUUAUGACCUGGGCUACACACGUGCUACAAUGGAUGGUACAAAGGGUCGCGAAGCCGCGAGGUGGAGCCAAUCCCAUAAAACCAUUCUCAGUUCGGAUUGUAGGCUGCAACUCGCCUACAUGAAGCCGGAAUCGCUAGUAAUCGUGGAUCAGCAUGCCACGGUGAAUACGUUCCCGGGCCUUGUACACACCGCCCGUCACACCACGAGAGUUUGUAACACCCGAAGUCGGUAGGGUAACCUUUAUGGAGCCAGCCGCCGAAGGUGGGACAGAUAAUUGGGGUGAAGUCGUAACAAGGUAGCCGUAUCGGAAGGUGCGGCUGGAUCACCUCCUUUCUAAGGAA